Molecule: ribosomal RNA, 254 nt
Filed under: uncultured bacterium
Lineage: Bacteria
Description: partial 16S ribosomal RNA
Rfam family: Bacterial small subunit ribosomal RNA
Source: RNAcentral
UACGUAGGUGGCAAGCGUUGUCCGGAUUUACUGGGCGUAAAGAGCGCGCAGGCGGUCGUUCAAGUCGCGUGUGAAAGCCCCCCGGCUCAACUGGGGAGGGUCACGCGAUACUGAUCGACUCGAAGGCAGGAGAGGGUAGUGGAAUUCCCGGUGUAGUGGUGAAAUGCGUAGAUAUUCGGCGGAACACCAGUGGCGAAGGCGACUCACUGGCCCGAUACUGACGCUGAGGCGCGAAAGCGUGGGGAGCAAACAGG